UGGGGAAUAUUGCACAAUGGGCGCAAGCCUGAUGCAGCGACGCCGCGUGAGGGAUGGAGGCCUUCGGGUUGUAAACCUCUUUCGCCAGUGAAGCAGGCCAUCUUCUUUGUGGGGUGGUUGACGGUAGCUGGAUAAGAAGCGCCGGCUAACUACGUGCCAGCAGCCGCGGUAAUACGUAGGGCGCGAGCGUUGUCCGGAAUUAUUGGGCGUAAAGAGCUCGUAGGCGGCUGGUCGCGUCUGUCGUGAAAUCCCCUGGCUUAACUGGGGGCUUGCGGUGGGUACGGGCCGGCUUGAGUGCGGUAGGGGAGACUGGAAUUCCUGGUGUAGCGGUGGAAUGCGCAGAUAUCAGGAGGACCACCGGUGGCGAAGGCGGGUCUCUGGGCCGUUACUGACGCUGAGGAGCGAAAGCGUGGGGAGCGAACAGG
RNAcentral lists this ribosomal RNA (425 nucleotides) under bacterium. Its description in RNAcentral is "partial 16S ribosomal RNA". It matches the Rfam family "Bacterial small subunit ribosomal RNA", at positions 355 to 776 of the family's 1533-position model. The record is from RNAcentral.